Small nucleolar RNA from Anabas testudineus (climbing perch), 77 nucleotides. Its record names the gene SNORD83. It matches the Rfam family "Small nucleolar RNA SNORD83". Rfam says of the family: U83 (SNORD83) and U84 (SNORD84) are members of the C/D class of snoRNA which contain the C (UGAUGA) and D (CUGA) box motifs. Lineage: Eukaryota; Metazoa; Chordata; Actinopteri; Anabantiformes; Anabantidae. The record is from Ensembl.
GCCACAUGAUGAACUGAAUGGCAGCAGUAGCUCUCGGGCUGUGAUGACCUGCUAUCUAUCACCCUUUUCUGAUGGCU